AUGCUGCAAGACAUAUACUACCUCCUGCACAGUAUCAGUAGCCCAAGAAUGAAGGCCAACACUAUAGUGGAUGCAUACUGCUCUAACCUCUGUAUUCCUUUGUUUCACCUUUAUGUUUCUGCUCUUUUGCUGUACUCAAGAAUUAAGAUCCUGUGGGAUGGCAUAUUAUACCAAACUGGAAAUAUAUGGAAGAAGGGCACUAAAGUGACUCCGUCUAUUCUUGAAGGUGGGGGACUGCACAGAACCAACCCCUGACUGGACUACUUGGAUACACUGUGCUGUUUGAGGUUUUCCUGUGCUCCUACCUUCCAGGUCUCUGAAGGAAGCCUCUCAUAGAGUGCAUGACACCAUGUGAAAAACACCCAUAAGUCUCUGGACUGGGCACCAGCAACUGUGGCAGUGUGGCAUAAGUGUCCAGAUUUCCCCACUACAAUCAUGGUUUGUAGCAUGGUAAGCACUAACAUGUCAUUGUACCAAGGAAAAUGCUGCCGUGUGGAUUCAAUGAACUAUAUGAUUGUCUCAGUACACAAGUCAGAGCCUGGAUAUAUUUGUACUUUAGAAAGAGCCUUCUUUUUCAGGCUCCUGGAACUGGUUUUUGCACAAAGGUGGUGAACAGAGUCUAGGAAGCAGGUAAGUUUGUUCUUGUUCAAAAAGAAAAAGAGACAAAGAUGAAAUCAAGUAUAGUUAAUGAUUUCAAAGUUUUUGAACGUGUGCAUUACUAUAUAAAUGCUAUUUAUUACCCUCAAGAGAUAAG
This 754-nucleotide long non-coding RNA is filed under the name Crocodylus porosus (Australian saltwater crocodile). Its description in RNAcentral is "lncRNA (ENSCPRG00005013846.1)". Lineage: Eukaryota; Metazoa; Chordata; Crocodylia; Crocodylidae. The record is from RNAcentral.